Molecule: ribosomal RNA, 207 nt
Filed under: uncultured bacterium
Lineage: Bacteria
Description: partial 16S ribosomal RNA
Rfam family: Bacterial small subunit ribosomal RNA
Source: RNAcentral
CACGUAGGCGGCUUGGUAAGUCAGGUGUGAAAGCCCGGGGCUUAACCCCGGAAGUGCAUUUGAUACUGUCAAGCUUGAGUAUGGGAGAGGGAAGUGGAAUUCCUGGUGUAGAGGUGAAAUUCGUAGAUAUCAGGAGGAACACCGGUGGCGAAGGCGACUUCCUGGACCAAUACUGACGCUGAGGUGCGAAGGCGUGGGUAGCAAACA